CCUACGGGAGGCAGCAGUGGGGAAUAUUGCACAAUGGGGGGAACCCUGAUGCAGCGACGCCGCGUGGGUGAAGGAGUAUUUCGGUAUGUAAAGCCCUAUCAGCAGGGAAGAACAAUGACGGUACCUGACUAAGAAGCACCGGCUAAAUACGUGCCAGCAGCCGCGGUAAUACGUAUGGUGCAAGCGUUAUCCGGAUUUACUGGGUGUAAAGGGAGCGCAGGCGGCGCGUUAAGCCUGGUGUGAAAGUCCGCGGCCCAACCGCGGGACUGCAUUGGGAACUGGCGCGCUGGAGUGCCGGAGGGGUAGGCGGAAGUCCUAGUGUAGCGGUGAAAUGCGUAGAUAUUAAGAGGAACACCAGUGGCGAAGGCGGCCUACUGGACGGUGACUGACGCUGAGGCUCGAAAGCGUGGGGAGCAAACAGGAUUAGAUACCCCUGUAGUC
This 441-nucleotide ribosomal RNA is filed under the name uncultured bacterium. Its description in RNAcentral is "partial 16S ribosomal RNA". It matches the Rfam family "Bacterial small subunit ribosomal RNA", at positions 338 to 795 of the family's 1533-position model. The record is from RNAcentral.